Molecule: long non-coding RNA, 776 nt
Filed under: Brassica rapa (field mustard)
Lineage: Eukaryota; Viridiplantae; Streptophyta; Magnoliopsida; Brassicales; Brassicaceae
Description: long non-coding RNA (BRAP_LNC003323)
Source: RNAcentral
GAUUUCCCUUUUUAUAAUCUCAGCCGUUGAUUAAAGUUGAUUUAAUGGAUACGAUUUUUUUUUACAUCUUAAUAUAUUUUUUCAAUUUCUCUUCCUACUUCUCAGAUCUGUCGAUCUCCUAAGAUUGCUGCUAUUGGUCAAUGAAAAAGGUUGAGGAUUACCCUUUUUCUAAUCUCAGCCAUCGAUUAAAAUUGAUCUAAUGGAUAAGACUUUUUGCAUUUUAAUAUUCUUUCCCUAUCUCUCUUUCUUAUUUCUCAGUUCAGUCGACCUCUUAUCUCCUAUUUUCUCUUUCUCGUCUUCAUCUCUUCAUCUUUUUUAUUUUCCUUUUGUUGAUCACCUCAUCUCUUCAUCUCCGUUUUCCUUCCCGGUGGUGCAAAGCUCGAUCUCCUCUACGUUUGUCUCCUCUCAGGUUGUCUUUUCUCCGGUCGUCUCCACUCGGGCCCGUCUCUUCUCGUGGGGUCGUCUCCUCUUCGGUCAUCUCUCUCCGAUGCUACAAGGUGUUGUGGCAGUCCAGUCUCCUCGGUGGUGAAAAUCCAGUCUACUCUCUACUCCUCUACAGUCCUAUGCGGUGUGGCAGUCCAGUCGAAUUGUCCGGUGCUUUAGCGGCCGUCAAAGUAGUUAUGUUUAGACUGUCUGUUGUAAUUAGGUUUAGACUGUCUGUUGUAAUUAGGUUUAGGUUAGCAAACUUUGUUUCGUCAGUAAACCAGUUUUAAUUUGUAAACCAGUACAUUUAUAAACUGAAUUUUAAUAAUGAAACAAAAUUUUAUUUGCAACCC